RNAcentral lists this ribosomal RNA (364 nucleotides) under uncultured eukaryote. RNAcentral describes it as "partial 18S ribosomal RNA". It matches the Rfam family "Eukaryotic small subunit ribosomal RNA", at positions 592 to 976 of the family's 1831-position model. The record is from RNAcentral.
CAAAAGCGUAUAUUAAAGUUGUUGCAGUUAAAAAGCUCGUAGUUGAACCUUGGGCUUGGCUGGCCGGUCCAUCUUUUUUGAUGCGUACUGGACCCAGCCGAGCCUUUCCUUCUGGCUAGCCUUUUGGCGAACCAGGACUUUUACUUUGAAAAAAUUAGAGUGUUCAAAGCAGGCCUUUGCUCGAAUAUAUUAGCAUGGAAUAAUAGAAUAGGACGUUAUGGUUCUAUUUUGUUGGUUUCUAGGACCAUCGUAAUGAUUAAUAGGGACGGUCGGGGGUAUCAGUAUUCAGUUGUCAGAGGUGAAAUUCUCGGAUUUACUGAAGACUAACUACUGCGAAAGCAUUUACCAAGGACGUUUUCAUUAA